RNAcentral lists this ribosomal RNA (490 nucleotides) under uncultured bacterium. Its description in RNAcentral is "partial 16S ribosomal RNA". It matches the Rfam family "Bacterial small subunit ribosomal RNA", at positions 30 to 507 of the family's 1533-position model. The record is from RNAcentral.
AUUGAACGCUGGCGGCAGGCCUAACACAUGCAAGUCGAACGGUAACAGGAAGACGCUUGCUUCUUUGCUGACGAGUGGCGGACGGGUGAGUCAUGUCUGGGAAACUGCCUGAUGGAGGGGGAUAACUACUGGAAACGGUAGCUAAUACCGCAUAACGUCGCAAGACCAAAGAGGGGGACCUUCGGGCCUCUUGCCAUCGGAUGUGCCCAGAUGGGAUUAGCUAGUAGGUGGGGUAACGGCUCACCUAGUCGACGAUCCCUAGCUGGUCUGAGAGGAUGACCAGCCACACUGGAACUGGAACACGGUCCAGACUCCUACGGGAGGCAGCAGUGGGGAAUAUUGCACAAUGGGCGCAAGCCUGAUGCAGCCAUGCCGCGUGUAUGAAGAAGGCCUUCGGGUUGUAAAGUACUUUCAGCGGGGAGGAAGGGAGUAAAGUUAAUACCUUUGCUCAUUGACGUUACCCGCAGAAGAAGCACCGGCUAACUCCGUG